RNAcentral lists this ribosomal RNA (490 nucleotides) under uncultured bacterium. RNAcentral's name for it is "partial 16S ribosomal RNA". It matches the Rfam family "Bacterial small subunit ribosomal RNA", at positions 30 to 507 of the family's 1533-position model. The record is from RNAcentral.
AUUGAACGCUGGCGGCAGGCCUAACACAUGCAAGUCGAACGGUAACAGGAAGAAGCUUGCUUCUUUGCUGACGAGUGGCGGACGGGUGAGUAAUGUCUGGGAAACUGCCUGAUGGAGGGGGAUAACUACUGGAAACGGUAGCUAAUACCGCAUAAUGUCGCAAGACCAAAGAGGGGGACCUUCGGGCCUCUUGCCAUCGGAUGUGCCCAGAUGGGAUUAGCUAGUAGGUGGGGUAACGGCUCACCUAGGCGACGAUCCCUAGCUGGUCUGAGAGGUUGACCAGCCACACUGGAACUGAGACACGGUCCAGACUCCUACGGGAGGCAGCAGUGGGGAAUAUUGCACAAUGGGCGCAAGCCUGAUGCAGCUAUGCCGCGUGUAUGAAGAAGGCCUUCGGGUUGUAAAGUACUUUCAGCGGGGAGGAAGGGAGUAAAGUUAAUACCUUUGCUCAUUGACGUUACCCGCAGAAGAAGCACCGGCUAACUCCGUG